GACGAACCGUGCGAACGUUGUUCGGAAUCACUGGGCUUAAAAGGGCGCGUAGGCGGGCAAGCAAGUCGAAGGUGAAAUCCCACAGCUUAACUGUGGAAGUGCCCCCGAUACUGCUUGUCUGGAGGGAGAUAGGGGCGUGCGGAACUUCCGGUGGAGCGGUGAAAUGCGUAGAUAUCGGAAGGAACACCGGUGGCGAAAGCGGCACGCUGGAUCUCUACUGACGCUGAGGUGCGAAAAGCGUGGGGGAGCGAAACAGG
Molecule: ribosomal RNA, 257 nt
Filed under: uncultured bacterium
Lineage: Bacteria
Description: partial 16S ribosomal RNA
Rfam family: Bacterial small subunit ribosomal RNA
Source: RNAcentral